UACGGAGGGAGCUAGCGUUAUUCGGAAUUACUGGGCGUAAAGCGCACGUAGGCGGCUUUGUAAGUUAGAGGUGAAAGCCUGGAGCUCAACUCCAGAAUUGCCUUUAAGACUGCAUCGCUUGAAUCCAGGAGAGGUGAGUGGAAUUCCGAGUGUAGGAGGUGUAAAUUCGUAGAUAUUCGGAAGAACACCAGUGGCGAAGGCGGCUCACUGGACUGGUAUUGACGCUGAGGUGCGAAAGCGUGGGAGCAAACAGG
This 254-nucleotide ribosomal RNA is filed under the name uncultured bacterium. Its description in RNAcentral is "partial 16S ribosomal RNA". It matches the Rfam family "Bacterial small subunit ribosomal RNA", at positions 524 to 776 of the family's 1533-position model. The record is from RNAcentral.